Molecule: ribosomal RNA, 793 nt
Filed under: uncultured bacterium
Lineage: Bacteria
Description: bacterial SSU rRNA
Rfam family: Bacterial small subunit ribosomal RNA
Source: RNAcentral
AGAGUUUGAUCAUGGCUCAGGAUGAACGCUAGCGGCAGGCUUAAUACAUGCAAGUCGAGGGGCAACAGGGGUAGCAAUACCUGCUGGCGACCGGCAAACGGGUGCGCAACACGUACAGAACCUUCCUUUAAGCGGGGGAUAGCCCGGAGAAAUCCGGAUUAAUACCCCAUAGUAUUAUUGAUUGGCAUCAAUUGGUAAUUAAAGAUUUAUCACUUAAAGAUGGCUGUGCGUCUGAUUAGGUAGUUGGUUGAGGUAACGGCUCACCAAGCCAACGAUCAGUAACUGGUGUGAGAGCACGACCAGUCACACGGGCACUGAGACACGGGCCCGACUCCUACGGGAGGCAGCAGUAAGGAAUAUUGGUCAAUGGACGCAAGUCUGAACCAGCCAUGCCGCGUGAAGGAUGAAGGUCCUCUGGAUUGUAAACUUCUUUUAUAUGGGAAGAAAUGCCUGCUUUAUAGCGGGUUUGACGGUACCAUAGGAAUAAGCACCGGCUAACUCCGUGCCAGCAGCCGCGGUAAUACGGAGGGUGCAAGCGUUAUCCGGAUUCACUGGGUUUAAAGGGUGCGUAGGUGGGAAUGUAAGUCAGUGGUGAAAUCUCCGUGCUUAACAUGGAAACUGCCAUUGAUACUAUGUUUCUUGAAUUUUCUGGAGGUUAGCGGAAUAUGUCUGUAGCGGUGAAAUGCUUAGAUAUGACAUAGAACACCAAUUGCGAAGGCAGCUAGCUACAGGGAUAUUGACACUGAGGCACGAAAGCGUGGGGAUCAAACAGGAUUAGAUACCCUAGUAGUCC